RNAcentral lists this ribosomal RNA (832 nucleotides) under Cortinarius aff. austrosanguineus 2 FS-2012. Its description in RNAcentral is "eukaryotic LSU rRNA". It matches the Rfam family "Eukaryotic large subunit ribosomal RNA", at positions 77 to 895 of the family's 3401-position model. The record is from RNAcentral. Lineage: Eukaryota; Fungi; Basidiomycota; Agaricomycetes; Agaricales; Cortinariaceae.
CCCCUAGUAACUGCGAGUGAAGCGGGAAAAGCUCAAAUUUAAAAUCUGGCAGUCUUUGGCUGUCCGAGUUGUAAUCUAGAGAAGCGUUAUCCGCGYUGGACCGUGUACAAGUCUCCUGGAAUGGAGCGUCAUAGAGGGUGAGAAUCCCGUCUUUGACACGGACUACCARGGCUUUGUGAUGCGCUCUCAAAGAGUCGAGUUGUUUGGGAAUGCAGCUCAAAAUGGGUGGUAAAUUCCAUCUAAAGCUAAAUAUUGGCGAGAGACCGAUAGCGAACAAGUACCGUGAGGGAAAGAUGAAAAGAACUUUGGAAAGAGAGUUAAACAGUACGUGAAAUUGCUGAAAGGGAAACGCUUGAAGUCAGUCGCGUUGUCCAGGGAUCAACCUUGCUUUUGCUUGGUGCACUUUCUGGUUGACGGGUCAGCAUCAAUUUUGACUAUUGGAAAAAGAUUAGGGGAAUGUGGCAUCUUUGGAUGUGUUAUAGCCCUUAGUUGCAUACAAUGGUUGGGAUUGAGGAACUCAGCACGCCGCAAGGCCGGGUUUUUAACCACGUACGUGCUUAGGAUGCUGGCAUAAUGGCUUUAAUCGACCCGUCUUGAAACACGGACCAAGGAGUCUAACAUGCCUGCGAGUGUUUGGGUGGAAAACCCGAGCGCGUAAUGAAAGUGAAAGUUGAGAUCCCUGUCGUGGGGAGCAUCGACGCCCGGACCAGACCUUUUGUGACGGUUCCGCGGUAGAGCAUGUAUGUUGGGACCCGAAAGAUGGUGAACUAUGCCUGAAUAGGGUGAAGCCAGAGGAAACUCUGGUGGAGGCUCGUAGCGAUUCUGACGUGCA